Magnolia sinica is the source of this 1016-nucleotide long non-coding RNA. RefSeq lists it as uncharacterized. The transcript is spliced from 2 exons. The record is from RefSeq and is a predicted model, not a curated record. Lineage: Eukaryota; Viridiplantae; Streptophyta; Magnoliopsida; Magnoliales; Magnoliaceae.
GCUCAAAGGAGAAUAGAUAUUCUUUACAACAACAAAACAAGGUAACUUGCAAAAGCAAUGCCAAGAAAAUAUGGUAACAUCUAUUGUUCUCAAAUUAAUUGGUUCUCUUUAGUCUUUCUGCUCUUUUAAACUGGAGCCAUUUUUAUUUUUUUUACAAGCUCUAUUCUGGUCUUCCUGUAUUAUGUCUCUUCAAUGGUAAUUUCCUUGUUUACGCGAACUCUGAUCUGUAGAUCUCAGACAUGAGUACAGAAAAACUGCAAAGGCAUGGGGCAAAGCAGACUCAGUAUUACUCAUGUAUUAGAGACCAUGAUUCCUAAGGACUUCUUAAAUUGCCAGAGAAUAGGGUAGGUGCUGACUGCAAAAGCAAGUAGGUAUCUUGGUUGAAUUGUGAUAACGAAUGAUCUUUUAAGAAGCUACUUGUAACUCUUUUUGCAUAUACAAUGUUUACAUCAUCAACCCUUUUUGCAAUUACAAUUUUAAUUUUUUUUUUUGUGCCACAACAUUAAUUGGGAAUGCAUGCUCAUGAUUGUAUCAUAUACAGCUUGCAAGGCACUUGAUAUAGGAGAUGUAGAGCUAUUAUUAUAGCUUGCAAAUGUUUCAAGCGAAUUAAUCCUUGUGUUUAGUUCCUGCCCAAACUCCACCUGUUAGUUACAUACAUGAAACAGGAUUUGUAAAGCUGCCUCCAAAUAUCUGGGACAAGGUUAUGACGAUUCUGAUGAUGAUAUGGUUCCCACUUGUGCUCAAUUCUCAUCCAAGAUGAGCUGCAACUAUAGAUGUCUCAUAUUUCAUUCUUAAAAAAGUUGUCUCAUAUUUUUUGUCCUACUGCGUGCAUAUGGAAUAAUGGAUGGCUCACCUGAGAUGGUACUACUGCUUCUAUAAUAAUUUUUUUUUUAAAUGUAAUGGAUGAUGGCUUGUGUAUUGUUACUCUCAGCCAAUACUUAAGAAGUUUUGUUUCACGAGCAGCACAAUAUAUGCUUUGUGACCAAGAUUUUUAAUCACAACUUGAUCUUCAAGAA